This 764-nucleotide long non-coding RNA is filed under the name Gallus gallus (chicken). Its description in RNAcentral is "long non-coding RNA NONGGAT002801". The record is from RNAcentral. Lineage: Eukaryota; Metazoa; Chordata; Aves; Galliformes; Phasianidae.
CUGUGUUGCAGGACAGCUACUUGCUAUUCCUGGCAAGCAGACAGCUAGGGAACUUUAAGAUUACCCAACAGAGAUGACCAAAGCUAGACCGGAAGCACUCUGAGACUUAGAGGUGUACCAGCUCGAUGAAGUAGACUAUGCAUCUAUCAGAGAACAUAAUGCUGCACUGAGCCUGCUGUGAAGAGUUCAUCUGAUUCAAAUGGAAUGACACAGUAACAAGCUGAAUAUCUAGGAAUGGCGGAGACCAGAUGAGGAUACUGAAAGCUGGGACACUGACUACUGCGCUGGUCUAGUUUUCAGCUGUGGAAGUUAUUUUCCUUAAGGAGAUCUGAGAUGGUGAUGUCACUACCCAUGAAAUAACAAAUGCCCAAUUUUCCUUACUGGCCUCUGAACAUGAAGCACAUAUCCCAGCGUUCCCUGACUCACUCCUGCAGAUACCUGAGCGGUCUCAUCAGCCUACACGGAAUGAGAAUGAAGCAGAGAAAUCCUUCAGGACAAAGGAUGCAGUAUAAAUGUAAAGUAUCAGUGGAACAGGUUGUCUGUGGGUGACUUUCAGUGUGCUGAUCCAGUUCUGUUUUCUUUUAAAUAUGCUCUAAAAACACGGCAAGCUUCAAAGCAUGGAAUAAGGGAGGUGGGUACAGCAUUUUAUAAAUACUCUAAAAAAUUCCAAGUUUCUGAAUGUUGCAGUCCACGGGAUGCUGCCUAGGAGAAACACAGCGUUAAGAUGGUGGUUGAGAUGCAAAUGCAACAUUUUCACAUGGUGG